UAAUACGGAGGAUGCGAGCGUUAUCCGGAUUUAUUGGGUUUAAAGGGUGCGUAGGCGGCCCCUUAAGUCAGCGGUAAAAUUUCUGCGCUCAACGCAGUCUGGCCGUUGAAACUGGGGGGCUUGAGUCUGGAUGAAGUGGGCGGAAUUUGUAGUGUAGCGGUGAAAUGCUUAGAUAUUACAAGGAACUCCGAUUGCGCAGGCAGCUCACUAAGCCAUCACUGACGCUGAAGCACGAAAGCGUGGGUAUCAAACAGGAUUAGAUACCCUGGUAGUCCACGCAGUAAACGAUGAUCACUCGCUGUCUGCGAUAUACUGUAGGCGGCUUAGCGAAAGCGUUAAGUGAUCCACCUGGGGAGUACGCCGGCAACGGUGAAACUCAAAGGAAUUGACGG
This 392-nucleotide ribosomal RNA is filed under the name bacterium enrichment culture. RNAcentral describes it as "bacterial SSU rRNA". It matches the Rfam family "Bacterial small subunit ribosomal RNA", at positions 521 to 916 of the family's 1533-position model. The record is from RNAcentral.